Molecule: ribosomal RNA, 483 nt
Filed under: uncultured bacterium
Lineage: Bacteria
Description: partial 16S ribosomal RNA
Rfam family: Bacterial small subunit ribosomal RNA
Source: RNAcentral
GUGAACGCUGGCGGCAGGCCUCACACAUGCAAGUCGAGCGGCAGCGCGGGGGCAACCCUGGCGGCGAGCGGCGGACGGGUGAGGAAUUCGUCGGAAUCUGCCUUUUUGUGGGGGAUAACGUAGGGAAACUUACGCUAAUACCGCAUACGUCCUACGGGAGAAAGUGGGGGACCGCAAGGCCUCACGCAGAAAGAUGAGCCGACGACCGAUUAGCUAGUUGGUGGGGUAAAGGCCCACCAAGGCGACGAUCGGUAGCUGGUCUGAGAGGAUGAUCAGCCACACUGGGACUGAGACACGGCCCAGACUCCUACGGGAGGCAGCAGUGGGGAAUAUUGGACAAUGGGCGCAAGCCUGAUCCAGCCAUGCCGCGUGUGUGAAGAAGGCCUUCGGGUUGUAAAGCACUUUUGUCCGGAAAGAAAUCCCUGGAGCUAAUACCUUCGGGGGAUGACGGUACCGGAAGAAUAAGCACCGGCUAACUUCGUG